GAAAAUGUUGAUUUUACUUUUCAAUCCAGGGGCCACCUCUUUCAUUGGUGUGUGCAGCUGACGUUUCAUAUUACAGAAAUCAUCUCUGGGCUCACAGCCUACACUCUCUUCCUCAUUCUGGUUACUCAUUCUUUCUUUUAGGUUGUGUUUUUUUGUAGAUGACUUUAAACUAUUUCUUUUCAUAUUAGGUCUGAAAUUACUUUUAUCCAGUAUACCAAUUUUUUCCUGAUGUUUUAAACCUUGGUUUUUGUUAUUUAUUUGAUAAUAUCUACUGCUGAAGGAAAUCUUAAACUUAGUUUUAGGAAAUAUGAAGUUAAGUUCUUUCAAUUGAUUAUCUCCUCUUUCCCACUCCCUUGCUCUGGUUCUGCACUUGAAGUUGCAUUGCUCCCAGGUAGCGUCAUGCUGGGUGUUACCUUAGUGCUUUCCUCGAUGCGUGAUCUGAGUGACUCCAUGGUGCAUACACAUCAUCCUGGGUGUUACCUUUGUGCUUUCCUC
Molecule: long non-coding RNA, 495 nt
Filed under: Homo sapiens (human)
Lineage: Eukaryota; Metazoa; Chordata; Mammalia; Primates; Hominidae
Description: HSALNT0117202
Source: RNAcentral